RNAcentral lists this ribosomal RNA (328 nucleotides) under uncultured Neocallimastigales. Its description in RNAcentral is "partial large subunit ribosomal RNA". Lineage: Eukaryota; Fungi; Neocallimastigomycota; Neocallimastigomycetes; Neocallimastigales. The record is from RNAcentral.
GUUGUUUAGUUGAAAAUUAAUUAAAUAAUUUUUGAUUUUGAGUAGUAUUGACUUCAUCAGCUUGCUGCUCUCUUUUCGGAAAUUAUUUAAUGCACUUUUCAGUUAACAAGUCAACAUCAAUUUCUUUUGUUGUAAAAGGGUAAGAGGAAGGUGGCUUACAUUUCGGUGUAAGUGUUUAUAGCCUUUUACCUCUGCAAUCGGAGAGAUUGAGGUCAGCAGCGUAGACUCUUCGGGGUUAGAUACACUUGUGCUAAGCUAUAGCCUUGUAUAGACAACUUGUUGACUAUGCUCAGUCAUGUAGCUUACUCGCUUGUAGUAUUUUACCUAC